This 449-nucleotide ribosomal RNA is filed under the name uncultured bacterium. RNAcentral describes it as "partial 16S ribosomal RNA". It matches the Rfam family "Bacterial small subunit ribosomal RNA", at positions 29 to 523 of the family's 1533-position model. The record is from RNAcentral.
AACGAACGCUGGCGGCAUGCCUAACACAUGCAAGUCGAACGAAGGCUUCGGCCUUAGUGGCGCACGGGUGCGUAACGCGUGGGAAUCUGCCCUUAGGUUCGGAAUAACAGCUGGAAACGGCUGCUAAUACCGGAUGAUAUCGCGAGAUCAAAGAUUUAUCGCCUGAGGAUGAGCCCGCGUUGGAUUAGGUAGUUGGUGGGGUAAAGGCCUACCAAGCCGACGAUCCAUAGCUGGUCUGAGAGGAUGAUCAGCCACACUGGGACUGAGACACGGCCCAGACUCCUACGGGAGGCAGCAGUGGGGAAUAUUGGACAAUGGGCGCAAGCCUGAUCCAGCAAUGCCGCGUGAGUGAUGAAGGCCCUAGGGUUGUAAAGCUCUUUUACCCGGGAAGAUAAUGACUGUACCGGGAGAUUAAGCCCCGGCUAACUCCGUGCCAGCAGCCGCCGUAC